GAGGGUAUAGCUUGAUGGUAGAACACUUAUCUAGCAUGCAUGAGGCCCUGGGUUCAAGUCCCAAUACCUUCA
RNAcentral lists this transfer RNA (72 nucleotides) under Fukomys damarensis (Damara mole-rat). It matches the Rfam family "tRNA". Rfam says of the family: Transfer RNA (tRNA) molecules are approximately 80 nucleotides in length. Their secondary structure includes four short double-helical elements and three loops (D, anti-codon, and T loops). Lineage: Eukaryota; Metazoa; Chordata; Mammalia; Rodentia; Bathyergidae. The record is from Rfam by way of RNAcentral.